CCCUUGUGGUGUGACUGCGUACCUUUUGUAUAAUGGGUCAGCGACUUAUAUUCUGUAGCAAGGUUAACCGUAUAGGGGAGCCGCAGGGAAACCGAGUCUUAACUGGGCGUUAAGUUGCAGGGUAUAGACCCGAAACCCGGUGAUCUAGCCAUGGGCAGGUUGAAGGUUGGGUAACACUAACUGGAGGACCGAACCGACUAAUGUUGAAAAAUUAGCGGAUGACCUGUGGCUGGGGGUGAAAGGCCAAUCAAACCGGGAGAUAGCUGGUUCUCCCCGAAAGCUAUUUAGGUAGCGCCUCGUGAACUCAUCUCCGGGGGUAGAGCACUGUUUCGGCUAGGGGGCCAUCCCGGCUUACCAACCCGAUGCAAACUGCGAAUACCGGAGAAUGUUAUCACGGGAGACACACGGCGGGUGCUAACGUCCGUCGUGAAGAGGGAAACAACCCAGACCGCCAGCUAAGGUCCCAAAGUCAUGGUUAAGUGGGAAACGAUGUGGGAAGGCACAGACAGCCAGGAUGUUGGCUUAGAAGCAGCCAUCAUUUAAAGAAAGCGUAAUAGCUCACUGGUCGAGUCGGCCUGCGCGGAAGAUGUAACGGGGCUAAACCAUGCACCGAAGCUGCGGCAGCGACACUAUGUGUUGUUGGGUAGGGGAGCGUUCUGUAAGCCGUUGAAGGUGUGCUGUGAGGCAUGCUGGAGGUAUCAGAAGUGCGAAUGCUGACAUAAGUAACGAUAAAGCGGGUGAAAAGCCCGCUCGCCGGAAGACCAAGGGUUCCUGUUCAACGUUAAUCGGAGCAGGGUGAGUCGACCCCUAAGGCGAGGCCGAAAGGCGUAGUCGAUGGGAAACAGGUUAAUAUUCCUGUACUCGGUGUUACUGCGAAGGGGGGACGGAGAAGGCUAUAUCAGCCGGGCGACGGUUGUCCCGGUUUAAGCGUGUAGGCGGAGGGUCCAGGUAAAUCCGGACUCUUUUAACGCUGAGGCGUGAUGACGAGGCACUACGGUGCUGAAGUGAUAAAUGCCCUGCUUCCAGGAAAAGCCUCUAAGCAUCAGGUAACACAGAAUCGUACCCCAAACCGACACAGGUGGUCAGGUAGAGAAUACCAAGGCGCUUGAGAGAACUCGGGUGAAGGAACUAGGCAAAAUGGUGCCGUAACUUCGGGAGAAGGCACGCUGGCGCGUAGGUGAAGGGACUUGCUCCCGGAGCUGAAGCCAGUCGAAGAUACCAGCUGGCUGCAACUGUUUAUUAAAAACACAGCACUGUGCAAACACGAAAGUGGACGUAUACGGUGUGACGCCUGCCCGGUGCCGGAAGGUUAAUUGAUGGGGUUAUCCGUAAGGAGAAGCUCUUGAUCGAAGCCCCGGUAAACGGCGGCCGUAACUAUAACGGUCCUAAGGUAGCGAAAUUCCUUGUCGGGUAAGUUCCGACCUGCACGAAUGGCGUAAUGAUGGCCAGGCUGUCUCCACCCGAGACUCAGUGAAAUUGAACUCGCUGUGAAGAUGCAGUGUACCCGCGGCAAGACGGAAAGACCCCGUGAACCUUUACUACAGCUUGACACUGAACAUUGAGCCUUGAUGUGUAGGAUAGGUGGGAGGCUUUGAAGCGCGGACGCCAGUCUGCGUGGAGCCAUCCUUGAAAUACCACCCUUUAAUGUUUGAUGUUCUAACGUGGCCCCGUGAUCCGGGGUGCGGACAGUGUCUGGUGGGUAGUUUGACUGGGGCGGUCUCCUCCCAAAGAGUAACGGAGGAGCACGAAGGUCAGCUAAUCACGGUCGGACAUCGUGAGGUUAGUGCAAUGGCAUAAGCUGGCUUGACUGCGAGAGUGACGGCUCGAGCAGGUGCGAAAGCAGGUCAUAGUGAUCCGGUGGUUCUGAAUGGAAGGGCCAUCGCUCAACGGAUAAAAGGUACUCCGGGGAUAACAGGCUGAUACCGCCCAAGAGUUCAUAUCGACGGCGGUGUUUGGCACCUCGAUGUCGGCUCAUCACAUCCUGGGGCUGAAGUAGGUCCCAAGGGUACGGCUGUUCGCCGUUUAAAGUGGUACGCGAGCUGGGUUUAGAACGUCGUGAGACAGUUCGGUCCCUAUCUGCCGUGGGCGCUGGAGAAUUGAGGGGGGUUGCUCCUAGUACGAGAGGACCGGAGUGAACGCACCACUGGUGUUCGGGUUGUCAUGCCAAUGGCACUGCCCGGUAGCUAAGUGCGGAAAAGAUAAGUGCUGAAAGCAUCUAAGCACGAAACUUGCCCCGAGAUGAGUUCUCCCUGAC
RNAcentral lists this ribosomal RNA (2254 nucleotides) under Enterobacteriaceae bacterium EKM102V. RNAcentral describes it as "partial 23S ribosomal RNA". It matches the Rfam family "Bacterial large subunit ribosomal RNA", at positions 583 to 2819 of the family's 2925-position model. The record is from RNAcentral. Lineage: Bacteria; Pseudomonadati; Pseudomonadota; Gammaproteobacteria; Enterobacterales; Enterobacteriaceae.